Molecule: long non-coding RNA, 770 nt
Organism: Trifolium pratense (red clover)
Lineage: Eukaryota; Viridiplantae; Streptophyta; Magnoliopsida; Fabales; Fabaceae
Exons: 3
Source: RefSeq, a predicted model, not a curated record
AAUAAUAAUAAUAAUAAUAAUAAUAAUAAUAAUAAUAAUAAUAAUAAUAAUAAUAAUAAGGACAAAACUUAUGCACAGUUCCUUAAGUGCGGUUUUUGUUGUUCCCCAAUUAAAAAACAACACCUGUAUAAGUAUUCUACAUCACCUACUCUUAUUCAUAAGAGCAUUUUCUCUCUCUUGAUUUGUGCAUUCCUUCCCUAUUUUUUCUCUUCCUCUGUUGUUUCUGCAAAAAGUCUCCCUGUUUCUGUACUCAUUGCAUUGCGGCCAUCAAUUUCAUACCUUCUUUUGUUCAUGUACCCAUAAAAAUUGCUUCAGACCAUUGUUUUUUAGUUUAGGAAGGUACUCCAACAUGGAAAAUUUAAAUUUGGCUACAAACAAUAUCGGUGAACCAUUAAGGAGUGACAAUAAUUCUCCCAUCAGUUUGAAUUCUAAUGAUACAGAGAUGAGAGGAUUGACAUGCUGCAGUUCCUGUCAUUGAGGGAGCGUACAAACUCAUGAUGAUGCUAGAGCUUAUCAACUGGAGUUUAUCAAAUACUGUAACUAAUGCCGAGAGAUGUAAGGUAGCAGCAACCUAACUCUUAUCUAAUACAUAAUUUAAAAAAGCUGAUUUGACAAAUUCAGGAACUUGCUUUGCUACGGGGACUUGUCCAACAGAGACAUAUGGGUGUUCCCUUCAAUGUAAAGAUAAGGGCUUUCAUUUUGGUGGUCACUGUAAACCAGAGACACCCUUUUGUUGUUGUACACCAAACAUUUGAGAGAUUUAUGUUUGA